This is a long non-coding RNA of Oreochromis aureus, 4877 nucleotides long. The record is from Ensembl. NCBI's taxonomy places the organism in Eukaryota, Metazoa, Chordata, Actinopteri, Cichliformes, Cichlidae.
GACGAUGUGCCGGGAGUCCGCUGUUGAGUUUUGGACGAAAUGCAUUCUGGGAUAUAUAGCUGUCCCAAGUCUACACCGAUGCAUGCUCGAUAAAACGGGCGGAUCGAGAACACAUCCGGGACUUUUUCGCGUUCUCGGCGUGAUGCGUACUUCGAAUUGGAACAGUACUUGGUCUCCGACUGAUGACGUAUCACGAGUACACGAGAACGCAAGUACGCACAAGUACGCAUAUUGAUAAACGCCCCCUGAAUUGGGACACAGCCAGUGGCUGCAGCCAGACCCUCUCGGUGAAGCUGACGGUGAGAAGAACACGAAGAAGUCGGUGUUUGUUUGUCCUGGUGCGCAGGCGUCAUGUGAGGGUGCAGUUCCUGCUGCGGCCUGCGGAGGCGGCAGAGCGCGGCACAGCGGCGAAGAAGAAGAAGCAGCGGCGCCAACAGCGAGCUGCUCGGUCCCACUCCUUUCUCUCCGCUUCAAGCCGCUUUAAAGACCGCAGCAUGAGGCCCGGACCUCCACCCUGACCGCCACCCGGAGCAGCCCGCGGAGCUCACAGCGCCGGUGCACAGCCGCCUGUUAACAGGUCCAAGUAACGGCUAACGGCGGCUUCACGGAGGAGACGAGGCGCUGUGACGUCACUGAGAAUCAAGGUGUUCCAGAUGAUUGUUGACGGUCACAGGAGGGAGGAGAGGAGGAGCAAGGAGGUGGGCUGCCAGUGGGAGAGCCCCGAGGAGGACAGGAAGGAGGUGGGCUGUCAGAGCCAGGCGGUGGAGAGGAGGGACGCCGCCGUCCAGGUGGAUCUGCUGACUCAGCAGCUGAGCUGGAGACACUCAGGUGAGACUCGGUGGGACGGGGCCUCCGUGGCUGAGACACUCUCUGAUUUAUAACUGGGCUCUCUGAAACACGGAGCUUCAAACUCAGGUCCAGUCCAACGUGUCUGUAAAGCAGCCUAAAAACAAACCAGCUGCACAUGAAACACAAACUGACUCAAACACAGGAAGCCUGCCAACACACAGGCCGUUACGCUGGUCGCUAUAGUGAUGCGCCAUAGUGCAGCUGUAAUAACAGUGUGUGUGAUGAAGGGCUCGACCUGAGGAAGGAGCAACCUGAUUCCACAGGCUAGACCUGGGCCCAGGUCCUCUGUGGCACCCAGAGGCCACGCAGAUCCACACAUACACAGCAGUGAAAUAAACGGCAGAGGGAAGAGAAGCAGGAAAGACUGAGCCGGCUGUCUGCUCCUGCAGCUCUGGGCCUUCCACACAAGCUUCACUUUCACGUGGAGCUGAUGAAGCUGAGGGUGGAGAGUCUUUGGCUGACGCAAUGUUUCUGAUGGAAACUGGCUCACGGUGCGUGUCUCUAUGAAUGUUGGAUAAAAGGGUGUGUGCCUCGUCGCCGAGCGCCGCCUUUGGGUUUAGAGCCUGUCGGCGUGCCACUCACCCGGCCACAAACGUAGAGUCAUGGGUGGAGUCACAGGUGAAGUCACGGUCCACGGGCUUUGUACUGAAGCCACCUCACAGGUGAGAAGAUGGUGAACUUCCUGUUCCUGUCCCACACCUGCUGAUUAGAAACACCUUCUGCCCAGGUGUUUCCUGGCACUGCGGCGCCAUCCGGGUGGAUGAACCAGCAGGGGGCAUUCUGCUGCAGCUCUGCAGGGGUCACACGUCACGCUGUGGGCCCUGCGCCACCGACCGCCCUGCCCUGCUACCCAGUGUGCCUCUGUUCUCCGAGCACGAGUCGUCUCCUUCAACCAGCAUGCCUCCCCUGACUCCUGUGGACGUCUCGGCUGCUCCUCCUGGACUCAUCGCUCCCCUGAGCCCGGGGCUGGCCGAAGACGAGGAGCAGGAAGAGGAGCAGGAGGUGCACGUACCUGAGGAGGAGCGACUCUGCUCUGAGAGCAUGGCAUUUAAAGAAAAGACGAAGAUGGAGGGGGGGAGGUGGCCUGAUGGAGGUGAAAGACAAAAGUCAUCACUGGCUGACAAAUCGACCAAUCACAUCGCAGGAAAACCACCCGGGAAGAGGAGGAGACUAAAGAUGAAACUUCUGGAGAAGGAUGAGGAGUCCCACACCAGCAAGCGAGGAGAGAAACAAACAACCUGGAUCCAAGAGAGGAAGAAGAACGAGGGGCAGGAGGAGGAGGAGAGGGGAGGGGAGGAGACCAUGAAAGAAGGGGGAAGAGUCAAAUCUGUCAUAAUGAAGACUGAGGAGGCGGAGUGUCAGAGACCGAGGAGGAGAAUGGUCGGUCCGACAGUCAGAUACCUGCUGGAGUCUGAGCAGCAGUCACAUGGGCCAACAGAGGCCAAUCACAGCAGAGCAAGCAGAGACGUGGGGAGGAGGAAGACGGGGAGGCCGAAGAAGGAGCAGAAGGAGCUGGAUGACAGCAGCACAAUGGAGUCCUCAGCAGACGGAGGAGCAGAGAGAUGGUGGAAGCUCUGCCAGGUGUGUGGUCUGAACUUCACCAGCCAGCCGUCUCUGGAUCUCCAUCUGUCCGUCCACAGACCGGCUUCGAGCUGCGCACAAGCUGCUGCUGACCAACAGCAAGAACAAACCAAUGACGCGAAGGGUGAUGCAGAGGAGAGGGAGGAGCCUCAGAGGCCAAGGAGGACAGUCUGCCAACCAAUCAGGUACCUACUGGAGUCAUCACAUGGUUCUGUAACAGCCAAUCAGACCAAUCGGGAGGCAGCUACCAAACCCACAAGAAGGAGAGGAAGAUCAAAAGAUGCUGUUGGGGGCAGGGCUUCAGAGGUGAUUGACAGGCCUGAGACUAAUGCUAAAGACACAGGUCACAUGGUCACAACAGGAGGAAGAGAGGAAGGAGAGGAGGAGCCUUACAGGCCAAAGAGGACGUUGGUUGGCCUCCUGGAGUCAGAGGAAACAUCAGGUGGUCUCAGAAUCUCCAAUCAGGACGCAGAAAACAAACCCACACAGUACAGGCGAAGAUCAAAAAAUGUUUUUGACUUCAAUGAGGCUGGGGGCGGGGCUUCAAAGAUGACUGACUGUUCUGAUACUGAAGAUAAAGAAAUGGGUCACACGGUCUCAACGGGAGGAAGACAGGAAGAGGAGGAGCCUCAGAGACCAGGAAAGACGGCGUCUGUCUUCCACCCGUCCGUCCACAGACCAAAGCGACUGUUCGGCUGUCACCUCUGCAACAGGAAGUUCAGCCGUGCCAGCAGACUGUUCCGGCACCAAUGUAAUCAGCACCACAGCAAUAUAGGUGGUCUCUGCGGCAAUGGAUGUGGGUCGGCCCUGAGCAACGCCCGAGCUCCUAAAAACAAACAGGAAAAACAGACCACCCAGGAUGACAAGGAGGAGCCUCAGAGGCCCAGGAAGCCCCUCUUCACAGCACCCACCGGGGCUCCUUAUUGGUCAAGAGACAUAAAUCGUGUGAGAAAAAGUCCCAGCUGGUUGGUCGACUACUGGACCCUGAACAAGAGGAGGAAUGGAAGGAGGGGGACGAAGAGGAGCAGAGUGGAGGAGGACGACGAGGAAAGGGAGGCGCAACAAGUCUGUGUGGAGAAGGAGGAGGGGCCUCAGAGGCCAAGGAGGACGACUGUUGGCCCACCAAUCAGGUACCUGCUGGAGUCAGAGGUGACAACACGGGGUUCUGGAAAAGCCAAUCAGACCAAUCAGAAGGCAGCUAACAAACACACAAGGAGAGGAAGAGCAAAAGACUCUGUUGGUGGCGGGGCUUCAAAGAUGACUGACUCUUCUGACAUUGAAGAUAAAGACACAGGUCACAUGGUCUCAAUGGGAGGAACACAGGAAGAGGAGCCUCAGAGACCAGGAACGACAGUCAGUCCACCAGUCAGGUACCUGCUGGAGUCGGAGGUAAUGUCACAUGAUUCUGGAACAGCCAAUCAGAAUGAUCAGGAGGCAGUUAUCAAACUCACAAGAAGGAGCGGAAGAUCAGAUGCUGUUGGCCUCUGUGAGGCUGGGGGCGGGGCUUCAGAGAUGAUUGACAGGCUUGACGCUAAAGAUAAAGACAGAAGUCACGUGGUUGUAAAGGGCAGAAGAAAGGAAGACGAGAAGAUGGAGGAGCCUCAGAGGCCGAGGAGGACGAUGGUCGGCCCACCAAUCAGGUACCUGCUGGAGUCAGAAGAGCUGUCAUGUGGUCAAAGAACAGCUAAUCAGGACACAGAAAACAAACCCACACACAGCAGACGGAGCCCAAAAAAGGCGUCUGUCCUCCACAGACCGAAGCGAGUGUUCGGCUGUCACAUCUGCAACAGAAAGUUCAGCCGUGCCAGCAGACUGUUCCUGCAUCAUUGCGAUCAGCACCGCAGCAUCUUAGACAGUCCCCACGGCAACAGAGUUGGCAUGGCCAUGAGCAGUGCUCGAGCUUCUGAUAGCAAACUGAAAGAAGGAACCCAGGGUAACGACGAGAAUGGGGAGGAGUCUCAGCGGCAGCGGAGGACUAGAGUUGGCCCACCAAUCAGAUACCUGCUGGAGUCAGAGGAGCCGUCACGUGGUCUUAGAGCAGCCAAUCAGAGUGCAGCAACCAAACCCACACAAAGGAAAGGAAGAAUGAAGGCUGGUGGCCUCACUAAGGCUGGGGGCGGGACUUCACAGAUAAUUGAUAGGUUUGAGGCUGCUGUUGCCACAGAGAGACAGACAGGUGUGCACAGACAGACUUACCUGGUUCACAGAGACCUGCAGGAUGGUCAGGUGACCAUCUCCCCCUGCUCUGUCACAAUGCAGCGCCUCCUCUGAUUGGCUGAUGACAUUCUUGUUAACCAUGUUUGUUGUAAUUUUUUGGUUUGGUUUCAGUGAUUUUAGGUGUGUGUCACACUCUUUGUUUUUGAACAAUAAAAUGAAAUAAUGUCCAGCUCCUUUUUUCUGUCCUGCUGUUCAUGGUUUCUAAUAAUGAGGUCAAAGGUCAGGCUGCA